UACGUAGGGUGCAAGCGUUGUCCGGAAUUAUUGGGCGUAAAGAGCUCGUAGGCGGUCUGUCGCGUCGGCUGUGAAAUCCCGCGGCUCAACCUCGGGUCUGCAGUCGAUACGGGCAAACUGGAGUGUUGCAGGGGAGACUGGAAUUCCUGGUGUAGCGGUGAAAUGCGCAGAUAUCAGGAGGAACACCUGCGGCGAAGGCGGGUUGCUGGGCUGACACUGACGCUGAUGCGCGAAAGCUAGGGGAGCGAACGGG
RNAcentral lists this ribosomal RNA (253 nucleotides) under uncultured bacterium. RNAcentral describes it as "partial 16S ribosomal RNA". It matches the Rfam family "Bacterial small subunit ribosomal RNA", at positions 524 to 776 of the family's 1533-position model. The record is from RNAcentral.